Molecule: ribosomal RNA, 253 nt
Filed under: uncultured bacterium
Lineage: Bacteria
Description: partial 16S ribosomal RNA
Rfam family: Bacterial small subunit ribosomal RNA
Source: RNAcentral
UACAGAGGUCUCAAGCGUUGUUCGGAUUCAUUGGGCGUAAAGGGUGCGUAGGUGGCGCGCUAAGUCAGGUGUGAAAUUUCGGAGCUUAACUCCGAAACUGCAUUUGAUACUGGCGUGCUUGAGGACUGGAGAGGAGACUGGAAUUCACGGUGUAGCAGUGAAAUGCGUAGAGAUCGUGAGGAAGACCAGUGGCGAAGGCGGGUCUCUGGACGGAUACUGACGCUGAUACGCGAAAGCGUGGGGAGCAAACAGG